RNAcentral lists this ribosomal RNA (484 nucleotides) under uncultured bacterium. Its description in RNAcentral is "partial 16S ribosomal RNA". It matches the Rfam family "Bacterial small subunit ribosomal RNA", at positions 30 to 507 of the family's 1533-position model. The record is from RNAcentral.
AUUGAACGCUGGCGGCAGGCCUAACACAUGCAAGUCGAGCGGAUGAAGGGAGCUUGCUCCUGGAUUCAGCGGCGGACGGGUGAGUAAUGCCUAGGAAUCUGCCUGGUAGUGGGGGAUAACGUCCGGAAACGGGCGCUAAUACCGCAUACGUCCUGAGGGAGAAAGUGGGGGAUCUUCGGACCUCACGCUAUCAGAUGAGCCUAGGUCGGAUUAGCUAGUUGGUGGGGUAAAGGCCUACCAAGGCGACGAUCCGUAACUGGUCUGAGAGGAUGAUCAGUCACACUGGAACUGAGACGCGGUCCAGACUCCUACGGGAGGCAGCAGUGGGGAAUAUUGGACAAUGGGCGAAAGCCUGAUCCAGCCAUGCCGCGUGUGUGAAGAAGGUCUUCGGAUUGUAAAGCACUUUAAGUUGGGAGGAAGGGCAGUAAGUUAAUACCCUGCUGUUUUGACGUUACCAACAGAAUAAGCACCGGCUAACUUCGUG